GAUGAACGCUGGCGGCGUGCCUAAUACAUGCAAGUCGAGCGAACAGACGAGGAGCUUGCUCCUCUGACGUUAGCGGCGGACGGGUGAGUAACACGUGGAUAACCUACCUAUAAGACUGGGAUAACUUCGGGAAACCGGAGCUAAUACCGGAUAAUAUAUUGAACCGCAUGGUUCAAUAGUGAAAGACGGUUUUGCUGUCACUUAUAGAUGGAUCCGCGCCGCAUUAGCUAGUUGGUAAGGUAACGGCUUACCAAGGCAACGAUGCGUAGCCGACCUGAGAGGGUGAUCGACAACACUGGAACUGAGACACGGUCCAGACUCCUACGGGAGGCAGCAGUAGGGAAUCUUCCGCAAUGGGCGAAAGCCUGACGGAGCAACGCCGCGUGAGUGAUGAAGGUCUUCGGAUCGUAAAACUCUGUUAUUAGGGAAGAACAAAUGUGUAAGUAACUAUGCACGUCUUGACGGUACCUAAUCAGAAAGCCACGGCUAACUACGUG
RNAcentral lists this ribosomal RNA (497 nucleotides) under uncultured bacterium. RNAcentral describes it as "partial 16S ribosomal RNA". It matches the Rfam family "Bacterial small subunit ribosomal RNA", at positions 28 to 507 of the family's 1533-position model. The record is from RNAcentral.